ACGAAGGGGGCUAGCGUUGUUCGGAUUUACUGGGCGUAAAGCGCACGUAGGCGGACUAUUAAGUCAGGGGUGAAAUCCCGGGGCUCAACCCCGGAACUGCCUUUGAUACUGGUAGUCUUGAGUUCGAGAGAGGUGAGUGGAAUUCCGAGUGUAGAGGUGAAAUUCGUAGAUAUUCGGAGGAACACCAGUGGCGAAGGCGGCUCACUGGCUCGAUACUGACGCUGAGGUGCGAAAGCGUGGGGAGCAAACAGGA
RNAcentral lists this ribosomal RNA (253 nucleotides) under uncultured prokaryote. Its description in RNAcentral is "partial 16S ribosomal RNA". It matches the Rfam family "Bacterial small subunit ribosomal RNA", at positions 525 to 777 of the family's 1533-position model. The record is from RNAcentral.